AACGUUCAACCUUUUUUGGUCGGAAGUAGGUUUGAAACCGAAGGAACGCAUC
Molecule: non-coding RNA, 52 nt
Submitted as: unclassified sequences
Source: Rfam